GUGCCCAUAGCUCAGCUGGAUAGAGCAUCCGCCUUCUAAGCGGACGGUCGAGGGUUCGAAUCCUUCUGGGCACGCCA
Molecule: transfer RNA, 77 nt
Filed under: Terasakiella magnetica
Lineage: Bacteria; Pseudomonadati; Pseudomonadota; Alphaproteobacteria; Rhodospirillales; Terasakiellaceae
Also listed under: 3 other names
Description: Candidatus Terasakiella magnetica tRNA-Arg
Rfam family: tRNA
About the family: Transfer RNA (tRNA) molecules are approximately 80 nucleotides in length. Their secondary structure includes four short double-helical elements and three loops (D, anti-codon, and T loops). Further hydrogen bonds mediate the characteristic L-shaped molecular structure. tRNAs have two regions of fundamental functional importance: the anti-codon, which is responsible for specific mRNA codon recognition, and the 3' end, to which the tRNAs corresponding amino acid is attached (by aminoacyl-tRNA synthetases). tRNAs cope with the degeneracy of the genetic code in two manners: having more than one tRNA (with a specific anti-codon) for a particular amino acid; and 'wobble' base-pairing, i.e. permitting non-standard base-pairing at the 3rd anti-codon position.
Source: RNAcentral